This 253-nucleotide ribosomal RNA is filed under the name uncultured bacterium. RNAcentral describes it as "partial 16S ribosomal RNA". It matches the Rfam family "Bacterial small subunit ribosomal RNA", at positions 524 to 776 of the family's 1533-position model. The record is from RNAcentral.
UACGUAGGGGGCAAGCGUUGUCCGGAAUCAUUGGGCGUAAAGCGCGUGUAGGCGGUUCGGUAAGUCAGCUGUGAAAGUCCAGGGCUCAACCCUGGAAAGCCGGUUGAUACUGCCGGGCUAGAGUCCGGAAGAGGCGAGUGGAACUCCUGGUGUAGCGGUGGAAUGCGCAGAUAUCAGGAGGAACACCGAUAGCGAAGGCAGCUCGCUGGGACGGUACUGACGCUAAGGCGCGAAAGCGUGGGGAGCGAACAGG